AUGAUCUCUACAUCCCUACUGCUGCUGCUGCUGGCAGCCGUACACUGUGUUCACAGUGUUGAGCUGAUCCAGACCGGAUCCACAGUAUUAACUCCUGGUCAGUCACUGACUCUGACCUGUAAAGUGUCUGGAUAUUCAUUAACUGAUAGCAGCUACUGGACACACUGGAUAAGACAACCUACAGGAAAAACUCUGGAAUGGAUCGGAGAGAUAUGUGGUGAUGGUAACACUUACUACAGUGAGAAACUGAAAAGCAGGUUUCAGGUUUCCAGAGAGUUUUCAUUUUUCAUGUCGAGCACCACAGUGACAUUGACAGGACAGAACAUGCAGACUGAAGACACAGCUGUGUAUUACUGCGCUCGUGAACCACACAUGAUCCACAGUGAUGGACUAAAAAGACAUGAGAUCUAA
This is a non-coding RNA of Tachysurus fulvidraco (yellow catfish), 411 nucleotides long. The record is from the annotation of a RefSeq genome assembly. NCBI's taxonomy places the organism in Eukaryota, Metazoa, Chordata, Actinopteri, Siluriformes, Bagridae.